This is a long non-coding RNA of Scophthalmus maximus (turbot), 5244 nucleotides long. Lineage: Eukaryota; Metazoa; Chordata; Actinopteri; Pleuronectiformes; Scophthalmidae. The record is from Ensembl.
GGUACAUGAAAAGCGCUUUAUAAAUCAAAUAUAUUAUUAUUAUUAUUAUUAUUAUCUAAAAGUGCCAAAAAUAAAAGUGAUUAAACAAAAUAAAAAAGACAUUAAAAAGUAUUAAAUAUUGUGAAAAAAUUAUAUAUCUAUGGUUAGUGUAGGCCUAAAUAUUAGUUUGCAUCCAUACAGCAGCAGCAGAAGAAGACGACGAAGAAGAAGAAGAAGAAGAAGAAGAAGAAGAAGAAGAAGACGAGGACGACGAGGAGGACGACGAAGAAGAAGAAGAUGAAGAUGAUGAUGAUGAUCACCUGUUCUCUCAGCAUGGUGUGUGGCACGAGGUAGUGACGUCACUACAGGACCACCGCGGAUUUAACGGACUGAGGACAUUGGCCGGUGCGCAGAUGUUGACUGUUCUGCCAUCGUUCCAUUACUCCAGCAGUCUGUCUCCUCACUGUGACCUUACAUCAGCUUGUGGAGUCAUUGGACAACGAAGGACAAGAAUGUGGCCACUUGACAAUAAACCUGCUGUCAUCCCCCAUGGAGUACUGGUAUGUUACUCAGUAUGCAACUCAAUGCACAAGGAAAUCUGACAGGUCGCCCAGUCAUUAACGGGAAAAGAAGAAAACAAAAACCAUACUUUGGCCAUGAAUUAAUUUUAUUUUUAUAUAUUUCUUAAUAGCUUGUUCCUCUUUUGACAUUUAUUUGAAUGCAUUUCAAUUUCAAUUUAGUUACUUACAGCUCAUUAACACAUGCAGCUUAUGAGAAGUAUUUUCAUUGCUUUAUAGGUUUGUAUGAGAUAAGGACAAGGGAGAUUGAGAACAGCUGCUGCUCUAAAACAGCACUGCACUUCUUACACUAGUAUUUGAAGAAAGAAUUUCAUUUUUUUCCCUGCUCUGGUACACUUAGGGUCUGCAUUAUUCAGCACUUGAAGGUCAUUUAUUACUAUUAUUAUUGUUAUUAUUAUUAUUAUUAUCUGUUCCUCAUCAGCUGGACGAUGUUGAGUAGUUGUGUGGUUUAUUCACACAGCACAAAAGAAUAUGGAUCCCCUUUCAUUUCAUCAUAGAUGGUCUGCAUCUUCCACAUAAUGCUGACCUGUACUUGACUUUGAUCCAUUGAUCCACACACAGUCCGUUCGGACCAGAGGAGAGAGAGGCCAAGACCAUCAGUACAAAAUGGGGUCCCUGUUGACUUAACCAGCAGCUAAUUAUGCAUGAACUUUCAUAUAGAUUUUUUUUUUUCAGGUCUGCUAAUUGGUUAUGUCACCAAUCGAUUUUAGCUGUUAUUGUUUUUCUCUCCAUGAUCUGAACCUCAAAGGAUGUUAGAGGAGAGAUUUCUCUAAAGUUUCCAGAAAAUCAUAACAAAGAGAUUGUGCAGUAAUUAAAUAUGCUGUUUAAAAAAUAUAUAUAUAUCACAUUGACAUGAAUAGAUGUACUUUUUACUAUGUCUGUUUCCUGUGAAAUCUAAAGGAUGAUGCACAAACAGAGUUAUAAUAUGGUUAGUGUGAGGAGUUGUAUUUUAAAACAUUACCUCUCAUUUGUGUUCUGAUAUACUGUACAAAAAAGGGAGAAGUAGCUUUUGUAAAGCAGAUAUCCAGAAGUCAUUGCUGACACCGGUUAAAAUGAUGUGCAUUUGUUAGAAGAGUCCUGUGAAAGCAUGAUGAUGUCUGCUUGCCCGGAGUUCUCGUGCUCAAAGCUCAAUCAGAUAUAAAAGUGUCACAGUCCACAUCCUUAAUCUGAAUUUAUGUCAUCAUCUUAGCUAAAGGCUGUUAAAGGUGAGCACACACACAUGUUCUCGGUCGACAGACACACACAAAUAUUAAAACAAUAAAAAAAAAAGAUUCUUUCAUCCUUACCGUUAUAUUAGUUACCUCUAUCUAUUAGCACUAGCUCAUUUUCUGAUCUGGAAUCUAUACCAGUAUACGGUGGCUGAUUUAAGGUUCAGGGAUCCGAUUGCCUCGGGCAAGUUAUUCUAAGAGCCCCCUGAUGUCAGUGGGACUGCCUGGCAGAAUAAAAGGCAAGGCAAUAAACUGGGGGAAAAAGUAGCACACGCGCAUUGAAAUGGGGGCCUCCCCGAGGCGAUGGCCCAACUGGCCCGUGGUUAAAUCCUCCACUGAAAGUGUAAUAAUCACACCAGAGCCCCACAGAGGGAAGGGAAGGGAAAGAGAACGAGUGGGGGAAGACACAGAGGUACCAAAACAAAACAAAAAAAACACCCCUCUCUGUCCUGUUCUCUUUGUGCCUUCUAUCUGAGGGGAAAAAAGAUCUUGGCACUAAGAAAGGGAAUUAUUACGGGGUAUGAUGGCAACUAAUGGCAAAAGUAGAACAAGAUCAGAAUCAGAUCACAAGGGUUUAUUGUAGCUGCGGCAGUGAUUCUGAUGUGUUUGCAGAUAUAAGCGUUAGACUUGUACUCUAAUCCUGGCCAAAGGCUGUCAUAAGCUCACCCCGGCUGCAGAUAAAUGCUCAAAAAUACAAUGGGUAGCCUAAGUAAUGGGCUUUGUACUGAGAUUACUUAACACACAUUUGUAUCCAAGAGGGAUAUAUUAAUGAUCAUUGUGUUUUCUCUGUAAUUACAAGCUUUUUCUUGUCUUUGGCUAUGGUGAAUUUAUUUUUCGUCUCUCCCCCCCCCAAAAAAAACAACAACCAAAAAGGCAAAAAGCAUUUGUUUAUAGCAAUAUUACCCCCCCUCGCACUCUUGAACGCCUCUCAAUUCUUUCCCCUUUUAGAGUGCCCAACAGGAGCUCCCACUAUAAAUCACAUUUAGUACCUCUGACAUGUUGGAAGAAGUGAAAUAGCUGCCAGUGGUCUAAUUGCCUCGCCCUGCAUGUCUUGUCUUUUGUGCUCCUCUCUCCACCAUUUUCAGACACUCUCGCCCCUACUCGGGAACUUCUGCACAUGUAUUUUAGAUCCGCGUCCGUUUCAGGAAUUGUGCAAAUGAGGGGCAUGCCGAACAAAACACAGUGUCAUGUAUUGUUUGAAAACAUCAAUUAAAAAGAAUGUUUCCUAUUCAGAAGCACAGCUUGAGAGCGACCUCUUUUGUUCUUGCUGAAAGAUUGUGGGAGGUUGACUGGGCAUGCUAAUUAUGACAGGAAAGGUCAAACUAAUUAGUGCUCCCUUUGAACUUGCUACCGGAAGUUCCCUGAUAUGUCCACGCAGACUUGACAGAGUUCAAAUUAAUUAAGAGUUGUCCUAGUUGCAAGACUGGUCUUUUAAAAGAGUUCUGUAUUUUAAGCAUGUUUACACAGCUUUCUUUUUAAAAUGUGUGUAAUCUCAUUAGUGUUUUUGUGGGAAGGCGUUCCAUUUACUACGCGCAAAUAAUUCUGAACAAGAGGCUUUUAUUUGUGAAGGGUUUGGUAACAAGAUACUCACACGUGUAAAUAGGUCUCUUUAUCAAGUGAAAAGAGAACACUUUGUGCACCAUUAAACCUGCACAAUGCCGUAAUCGUCUUUGUUUAGAUAUGUUAAAUAAAGCAUAUCAUUAUGCUCUACUGGGUGCUAAGUGGUGUUUUAAAGGUCCAUAAAUUCAAUUAGACAAUAUUUAAUGCUGCCCCUAGACCACGUUAGUGCAGCGACGCACGUGAUCAGGGGGGAGGGUCGAGUCAACAUUUUUAAGAAUUAUUACUCAGGAUUUACAUUUAUAUUGUCAUUUUAAUAGCACGCCCCUCUUCAACCGAUAGGGGCCUCAGAUGCUUCCAGGGCCUCAGCCCCCCCUCCCUCCCUCAGGACUGUAUCCCAUUUUUCAUUAUACAUAGCGAGGAAAGAAAAAAAGAAAUCUCUCUUCCGUCUCAGUCAUUAGAGCGAUCUCGUUAGCCUGGUGCUAAUGCACAGUUUAGCAGCCACCGCGGAAAAUGCUAAAGAGGUCCUGACAACUCCUGGGGGUUGGCUAAGUGUGGGCCAAGGGUUUCUUUCUGUGUGUGCGAGUGCGCACUCGCGUUAGUGUUUGAAGGGGGGGCGGGACGGGGUCCCAGUGGUUGUUUGCCUGUUUUCCAUCAAGAGCCCUCAUCUCCUUUAUCCCCUUUGUGGCGGAGGCCCUCCUCGGGCAGUUCCCUCUGAGGGGGAUCUAAAAAGAGCAGCUGCUGGGGAAUGAGUGCCAUUUCCUCCUGCUGUCACCAGCACACUGGCAACCCUUAGUCCUCCUGUCCCCCUCCACUCGCAAACCCCCUAUUAAUAUGCAUAUGAACUUGUUUCUCUUAGUUCUGAACUCCAAUGACAAAGUGGGAAAGCAUAUGUCUGAAAUAUUCAUGAUCGCACGCAGUAAUUAAGCGGUGGAGAAGGGAACUCUGCGAGGGAGAGUCACUACCCCUCUGCUGGAGUUAAAAAUGGCCUUUUUUUCCCCCUCUCCAGCACUAAAAAGCAUGUUAUCCUCUGCUUUCUCAGUAAUUCUUCGAAGCCUCUCCCUCGUCGUUUGUGCUGUUGUGCAACACAGAGCCACUUACCAUGUGAGAGUUAAUGAGGCUUAAAAGAAGUGCAGUUUUGUUUAGUGAGUUAACUCCAGUUAAGUGCCAGAGAGGACCCGCAUUGUGACACCAAGGAUGUUUUUCCUCAGUUUUUCUCUGUACCACGUCCAUCAUUAAAUAUCCCUUCACAUACAAACACUGAUACUUGGAAAUGUAAUUGUCCAUGUUACUGAAAUAGAACUAAAGAAUCUCCUGCCUCACACCUUUUGUAAUUGGUACCAGCAACUUGCAUUUUCAGCAUGAUUUAGUCAUGUCUAACUUUGAUCUUUCACAAUUGUUUCUCUGGAAUAAAAAAUGUAAAGUAAUAUGUCCACAGUAUUAAUAUUAUGAAAUUAGUAUUUGCAUAAAAAAAUCAUUUUUAUUUUCUGUCAUCUCAGAAUCACUUAAGAGUUCACCAAACAUUCAUGCUCUUCAUCUUUAGGUGCAGUGUUGGGGAAAAAAAAACAAAAACCUUUGGUACACAACAUAUUACAUUUUCAAAAUGUUUCGUCAUUACUAUUCUUUUCAUAUUUUAAUGAUCUUUUAGCAACAUUUUCAGUUAAGUGUCGGAAAUGCCCUUAAUCGAUGGUUUGAAAAGACUGACUUUGAAGUCGAUGAAGAAAGCAUGCUGCAGACCAUUCAGAGAUUCAGCCAGAAGAAUGAGAGGACACAGAGGUGGACGCCUCUGUACAACCACCAGAGAGGUGGAGAGAGGGAGGGAGAGGGAGGGGGGUAUUUAGUUAUAGGAGGCGAGAGGGCGGUAGAGGGGGAGAGAGGGGGCUGUGAGAUGGUUGCCGAGGGUUGACAGCCAGGUAGAUUGU